Long non-coding RNA from Bos indicus x Bos taurus (hybrid cattle), 803 nucleotides. NCBI's taxonomy places the organism in Eukaryota, Metazoa, Chordata, Mammalia, Artiodactyla, Bovidae. The record is from Ensembl.
CUUGUUCUUGCACCUUCCAGUCCUUCUAAAGUAAGAUGCUGUGAGCAGCUGACUCGCGACAUGGGGAGGAGCACACUGUUGUAAAUAACCAUCGUGGGAGAACAGGAGGCCUAUUCUGGACCCCACACCCUGACAGGUCCUUCUCUCCCCAGGCUCUCGUUUAAUCUGGAGGAACAUACACAGGCUGGUUGGAUGCAAGUCUGCGUGUCGGGAUUCAGAGAACAGACUCAGGCAGUUGUUGAUUACAUCAAACGCGUCACUGGGCCUGCGGAGGAGGCAUACGGCAGUUAUUAGUAUCAAGUAAAGAGCGACUUAGCAGCAGCAGCAAAGAGUCAAAGGAAAAAUAGCCUUGGCCUGAAGCCACAGUGAUCUGGGGAAACAAUAUUAAAGCUGAGAAAUCUAUAAAAGGUCAGAGACUCAUAGAGACCUUAACUUGGAUGGGAAAACAUACCUUCAGCCAAGUGUUCUGAAAUGAGGAGGAAGAAAUGGGGUGACCGCCUCCUUUUGGAAAAGGAGUUGAGUUCUGACUGAUGAAGGUGUUUUCUCAUCUGUAAAAGGAGAAGGACAGGUAUGAAUCAAGUCUCUCAAACUCUUCUACUUCUGAUAGUCGCACAAGGCUGAUUAGUAUCUUGACUCAUCCAUCCAGCAAAUAUCAACUGACUUACCAUUGGCAAGCAUUGUGCUGGGCAUUGGUGAAGACUGAAUCUGGGAACAGUACAUACAACUAAUGAGCUAACUCCUAAACAAGCCCUUUUUACCAAGCACCCAAUAAAACUUUACCCCUUUCCUUUUUUUUUUUUUUU